Molecule: long non-coding RNA, 1328 nt
Organism: Cucumis sativus (cucumber)
Lineage: Eukaryota; Viridiplantae; Streptophyta; Magnoliopsida; Cucurbitales; Cucurbitaceae
Exons: 3
Source: RefSeq, a predicted model, not a curated record
AAAUGGUUCUCUGGACAUAAGUGAAUUGUGAGUUUACUGAAUUUGGUAAAUUUAGAAGCAUUCCUCUGUGCAUCCUCUAGUAGAUUUUGGAUUUUCCUCUUCCACUGUAAUGGAAUUGGACCGAGAAAAGUUAAUGUGUUCCAGUUAUUUUACGGUGCUGGCACUUACAUGUUUGGAAUUGAUGAUGAACGAAUAAUUGAUGCUACAAGGGCUGGAAGCAUUGCUCAUCUGAUCAACCACUCUUUCGAAUAACUGUUGCUCCUCACAGAAGUGUUCAAGGAUAAAUAAAGGUUCAUAUUAGAAGUGGACGUCCAUUAGUUUUGGUAUGUAUGUAAAUUAUUUUAAAUCUAAGUAUCUGAUUUCCUAAUAGUUGAAAACCUUAGUUUAUUGACAAGAAAUCAAAUGGUUACUUCUGAAGUUGGUUGAUUGUAUUUGGUUAUGUCUACUAAUGAGAAUGACUUUACCUUAAGGGGAUAGACUUUAGUUUUGGUAUCUCCAAUUGAGAAUUUAGCCAUUGUGCUUACUCUUUAUGGAGUAUCUAAAGACAAGAAAUCGACACUCCAAUGCUAUGAAAAUUUUCCUAUAAGCUGAUGAUAUGUGGGGAAGAUAUUCAUAGUUCAUCUUUAUUGGCGAUGAUUGCAUAAUACAAACUGUUUAACUCUAAGGAUUACAAAUUGUCGUACAUGUAUUGUCGUAGGCUGUUUUGUUCUAAGGACUAGGAACAACCCAAGAAGUUGUUCAAUUUGCAGUGGCCAUUUGGUUGGACGUUCUUCUUCUCCUUGAUCUCUUUCUCCUCUUCUUAGGAACUUCAUUUUCAUUAUCAGAUUUGAAGAGGGACCACCAUGAGUGGGGUAGUAAAAUGAAUAGAGAAUGGGAGAGUGAGCUGGGUAUGUUUUUGGUAUGUGUAUUCUAGAGAGAAAGAGUAGCAGUAUGUUUUUGUUUGCUGUGUUUGCCUAAUAUAGUCCUCAUGGUCUUCUCUUUUCAUUUCAUGGAAUCAAGUGUUGAAGUUCUUGUUUGUGUUCUGUAUUUUGUUGAGACGUUGAUUUAGUUAUUCAUUGACUGUACGUAUGUGUUAUGGAUUCUUUGUAGGUUCAACUGGAGUCGACAAGUUCAUGAGUUUUGUUUCAAAUAUCAUUUCCAGAAACGAACAUUCUCGGUUGGUCCAGUCAAAUAUAUUCGAAUGCUAUUUAAGAUAUUUUUUGAUUAAGGGUUAGUAUUUCGUACAUGUGGAUUACUGAAACUUGUAUUAAGAUGUACAAAUAUUAUAAAUCGUAUUAUAGUGUAUAUAUAUUAAAGUGUUGGCUAUUUUCUUGUACAUUGGUGUGAAA